This 30-nucleotide unclassified non-coding RNA is filed under the name Mus musculus (house mouse). RNAcentral describes it as "oocyte_clustered_small_RNA1290". The record is from RNAcentral. Lineage: Eukaryota; Metazoa; Chordata; Mammalia; Rodentia; Muridae.
UGCUCAGACAAUGUGCUCCCAGGCCGGGCA